Molecule: non-coding RNA, 123 nt
Organism: Gossypium raimondii (Peruvian cotton)
Lineage: Eukaryota; Viridiplantae; Streptophyta; Magnoliopsida; Malvales; Malvaceae
Source: Rfam
AACAGGAGAAUGACAAAUCAAAAUUUUCCUCUUGAUAUUCAGCCUUUUCCUCCUGAAAAAAUUCAAAUCCAACUAUAAAAUGCUGAAUAUCAGGAGAAAAGUUUAAUUUGUCAUUCUCCUAUU